GUACUUGCUUCGGCAGUACAUAUACUAAAAUUGGAACGAUACAGAGAAGAUUAGCAUGGCCCCUGCGCAAGGAUGGUCAUGUAAAUUCUACUCAACUUCUUAAUGUCU
Molecule: small nuclear RNA, 108 nt
Filed under: Lepeophtheirus salmonis (salmon louse)
Lineage: Eukaryota; Metazoa; Arthropoda; Copepoda; Siphonostomatoida; Caligidae
Source: RNAcentral